CUCUCUGGAGCUCAGUUGGUUAGAGCGCUGCACCGGAAUCGCAGGGCCGUAGGCUCGAUUCCUUACAGCUGAGAGC
Molecule: non-coding RNA, 76 nt
Organism: Paramuricea clavata
Lineage: Eukaryota; Metazoa; Cnidaria; Anthozoa; Malacalcyonacea; Plexauridae
Source: the annotation of a GenBank genome assembly